RNAcentral lists this ribosomal RNA (484 nucleotides) under uncultured bacterium. RNAcentral describes it as "partial 16S ribosomal RNA". It matches the Rfam family "Bacterial small subunit ribosomal RNA", at positions 34 to 507 of the family's 1533-position model. The record is from RNAcentral.
CUUGCCCGCUGGCGGCAGGCCUAACACAUGCAAGUCGAGCGGAUGAAGGGAGCUUGCUCCUGGAUUCAGCGGCGGACGGGUGAGUAAUGCCUAGGAAUCUGCCUGGUAGUGGGGGAUAACGUCCGGAAACGGGCGCUAAUACCGCAUACGACCUGAGGUAGAAAGUGGGGGAUCUUCGGACCUCACGCUAUCAGAUGAGCCUAGGUCGGAUUAGCUAGUUGGUGGGGUAAAGGCCUACCAAGGCGACGAUCCGUAACUGGUCUGAGAGGAUGAUCAGUCACACUGGAACUGAGACACGGUCCAGACUCCUACGGGAGGCAGCAGUGGGGAAUAUUGGACAAUGGGCGAAAGCCUGAUCCAGCCAUGCCGCGUGUGUGAAGAAGGUCUUCGGAUUGUAAAGCACUUUAAGUUGGGAGGAAGGGCAGUAAGUUAAUACCUUGCUGUUUUGACGUUACCAACAGAAUAAGCACCGGCUAACUUCGUG